Molecule: ribosomal RNA, 425 nt
Filed under: uncultured bacterium
Lineage: Bacteria
Description: partial 16S ribosomal RNA
Rfam family: Bacterial small subunit ribosomal RNA
Source: RNAcentral
GUGGGGAAUAUUGGACAAUGGGCGAAAGCCUGAUCCAGCAAUGCCGCGUGAGUGAUGAAGGCCUUAGGGUUGUAAAGCUCUUUUACCCGGGAUGAUAAUGACAGUACCGGGAGAAUAAGCUCCGGCUAACUCCGUGCCAGCAGCCGCGGUAAUACGGAGGGAGCUAGCGUUGUUCGGAAUUACUGGGCGUAAAGCGCACGUAGGCGGCUUUGUAAGUUAGAGGUGAAAGCCUGGAGCUUAACUCCAGAACUGCAUUUAAGACUGCAUCGCUUGAAUCCAGGAGAGGUGAGUGGAAUUCCGAGUGUAGAGGUGAAAUUCGUAGAUAUUCGGAGGAACACCAGUGGCGAAGGCGGCUCACUGGCUCGAUACUGACGCUGAGGUGCGAAAGCGUGGGGAGCAAACAGGAUUAGAUACCCCAGUAGUCC